GGUUAAGCGAAUAAGCGUACACGGUGGAUGCCUAGGCAAUCAGAGGCGAUGAAGGACGUGCUAAUCUGCGAAAAGCGUCGGUAAGGUGAUAUGAACCGUUAUACCCGACGAUAUCCGAAU
RNAcentral lists this ribosomal RNA (120 nucleotides) under Proteus mirabilis. RNAcentral describes it as "partial 23S ribosomal RNA". It matches the Rfam family "Bacterial large subunit ribosomal RNA", at positions 1 to 119 of the family's 2925-position model. Lineage: Bacteria; Pseudomonadati; Pseudomonadota; Gammaproteobacteria; Enterobacterales; Morganellaceae. The record is from RNAcentral.